UUCAGAGUUAUUUGGAACAGGUCCUAUACCCUAGGUUCAGAGUUAUUUGGAACAGGUCCUAUACCCUAGGUUCAGAGUUAUUUGGAACAGGUCCUAUACCCUAGGUUCAGAGUUAUUUGGAACAGGUCCUAUACCCUAGGUUCAGAGUUAUUUGGAACAGGUCCUAUACCCUAGGUUCAGAGUUAUUUGGAACAGGUCCUAUACCCUAGGUUCAGAGUUAUUUGGAACAGGUCCUAUACCCUAGGUUCAGAGUUAUUUGGAACAGGUCCUAUACCCUAGGUUCAGAGUUAUUUGGAACAGGUCCUAUACCCUAGGUUCAGAGUUAUUUGGAACAGGUCCUAUACCCUAGGUUCAGAGUUAUUUGGAACAGGUCCUAUACCCUAGGUUCAGAGUUAUUUGGAACAGGUCCUAUACCCUAGGUUCAGAGUUAUUUGGAACAGGUCCUAUACCCUAGGUUCAGAGUUAUUUGGAACAGGUCCUAUACCCUAGGUUCAGAGUUAUUUGGAACAGGUCCUAUACCCUAGGUUCAGAGUUAUUUGGAACAGGUCCUAUACCCUAGGUUCAGUUAUUUGAAACAGGUCCUAUACCCUAGGUUCAGUUAUUUGAAACAGGUCCUAUACCCUAGGUUCAGUUAUUUGAAACAGGUCCUAUGCCCUAGGUUCAGUUAUUUGAAACAGGUCCUAUGCCCUAGGUUCAGUUAUUUGAAACAGGUCCUAUACCCUAGGUUCAGUUAUUUGAAACAGGUCCUAUACCCUAGGUUCAGUUAUUUGGAACAGGUCCUAUACCCUAGGUUCAGAGUUAUUUGGAACAGGUCCUAUACCCUAGGUUCAGUUAUUUGAAACAGGUCCUAUACCCUAGGUUCAGUUAUUUGAAACAGGUCCUAUACCCUAGGUUCAGUUAUUUGAAACAGGUCCUAUGCCCUAGGUUCAGUUAUUUGAAACAGGUCCUAUGCCCUAGGUUCAGUUAUUUGAAACAGGUCCUAUGCCCUAGGUUCAGUUAUUUGAAACAGGUCCUAUACCCUAGGUUCAGUUAUUUGAAACAGGUCCUAUACCCUAGGUUCAGUUAUUUGGAACAGGUCCUAUACCCUAGGUUCAGUUAUUUGGAACAGGUCCUAUACCCUAGGUUCAGUUAUUUGAAACAGGUCCUAUACCCUAGGUUCAGUUAUUUGAAACAGGUCCUAUACCCUAGGUUCAGUUAUUUGAAACAGGUCCUAUACCCUAGGUUCAGUUAUUUGGAACAGGUCCUAUACCCUAGGUUCAGUUAUUUGAAACAGGUCCUAUACCCUAGGUUCAGUUAUUUGAAACAGGUCCUAUACCCUAGGUUCAGUUAUUUGAAACAGGUCCUAUACCCUAG
Long non-coding RNA from Oncorhynchus keta (chum salmon), 1353 nucleotides. RefSeq lists it as uncharacterized. The record is from RefSeq and is a predicted model, not a curated record. The transcript has 4 exons. Lineage: Eukaryota; Metazoa; Chordata; Actinopteri; Salmoniformes; Salmonidae.